CUGGAUGGUACCGGAUGGAACAGCUUCCA
Molecule: non-coding RNA, 29 nt
Filed under: Homo sapiens (human)
Lineage: Eukaryota; Metazoa; Chordata; Mammalia; Primates; Hominidae
Source: RNAcentral